GCAUUCGUGGUGUAGUGGAAGCACGCUGGACGCGUAAACGAGAGAUCCGUGGUUCGAUUCCCGGUGAAGGCG
Molecule: transfer RNA, 72 nt
Filed under: Stegodyphus mimosarum
Lineage: Eukaryota; Metazoa; Arthropoda; Arachnida; Araneae; Eresidae
Rfam family: tRNA
About the family: Transfer RNA (tRNA) molecules are approximately 80 nucleotides in length. Their secondary structure includes four short double-helical elements and three loops (D, anti-codon, and T loops).
Source: Rfam by way of RNAcentral